RNAcentral lists this ribosomal RNA (474 nucleotides) under Hebrus ruficeps. RNAcentral's name for it is "partial 16S ribosomal RNA". Lineage: Eukaryota; Metazoa; Arthropoda; Insecta; Hemiptera; Hebridae. The record is from RNAcentral.
UUUUAAUCCAACAUCGAGGUCGCAAACUUUUUUAUCGAUAAGAACUCUCCAAAAAAAUUACGCUGUUAUCCCUAAGGUAGUUUAAUCUAAUAAUCAUAAAAAAUGGAUCAAGAAAAUCAAAAAUAAUUGAAAAAAAUAAAUAAAAGUUAAUUAAAUUUUAAAGUCACCCCAACCAAAUUAUUUAAAUCAUAAAAUUAAAAAUUAACAAAUAUAAAAUAAAAAAUAAAUAAUAAAACUCUAUAGGGUCUUCUCGUCCUAUAUAAAAAUCUUAAGCUUUUUAACUAAAAAAUUAAAUUAAAAUAAAUUAUAAAAAGAAAGAAAAUUUUUCAUCCAACCAUUCAUACCAGCCUCUAAUUAAGAGACAAUUGAUUAUGCUACCUUUGUACAGUCAAAAUACUGCAGCCAUUUAAAUAUUCAUAGGGCAGGUCAGACUUAUAAUUAAAAUCUAAAAGACAUGUUUUUGUUAAACAGGCG